RNAcentral lists this long non-coding RNA (2245 nucleotides) under Homo sapiens (human). Its description in RNAcentral is "HSALNT0348967". The record is from RNAcentral. Lineage: Eukaryota; Metazoa; Chordata; Mammalia; Primates; Hominidae.
CUCCACUUAAUAAGGAAAGAAAAAAAAAUUGUAGGGUGAGGUUGCUAAGGUCUAUGAUAAGAACAAAUGUAUGUGUGAAAUUGUGAAGAAGGAAAAAAGUAUAUGCAUAGUAUGUAUAGGGUUUGGUUUAGGCAUCCACUGGGGGUCUUGACAGGUAUCCCCCGCUAUCGAUGGGGGGAUUUUCAUUUUGUGAGUUUUAGCUGCAUCCUGUUCCUAUUUCCUUUGGUGGUACUUUGCACAUUGACAUUUUUUAUUGAGAUUUUACCAUACAACCUAAUUUCCAUUUCUCUAUCUCAUGUUGCCAUUAGAGUAAUUAGUCAAAGGCUGGGCUUGGUGGCUUACACCUGUAAUCCCAACACAUUGAGAGGCUGAGGCCGAGGAGGGAGGAUUGCUUGAGGCCAGGAGUUUGAGACCAACGUGAGCAACAUAAUGAGACCCUUGUCUACUAAAAGUAAAAAUAAAUUAGCUAGGCAUGCAUAAUGGCAAGUGCCUGUAAUCCCAGCUACUUGGGAGGCUGAGGUGGGAGGAUCGAUUGAGUCCAGGAGGUUGAGGUGGCAGUAAGCUAUGAUAGCAUCCGUGCACUCCAGCCUGGGUGACAGAGCAAAGCCUUGUCUCUAAAAAAAUUGUUUUAAUUAAAGAGUUGUUAGCCAAGUGUGCAAAGCAACUGUUUGUAACCAAUUCCUUGCUUUUGAGUAAACAUAAGCAUUUAUUGGUACUUCCUGAGUACCAACCCUCAUACUAGAUGCCUUAUGUACUUUGUUUCUAAUCCCCAGAACAAAUAUGUGAUAGAUGUUCUUAUUCACACAAACAGCAGAAGAAGCAGCAUCAAUAAGUACCUCCAUCAUUGGGAUUGGAAGCAGUAUAGCUCUUGGAAGUUGAACUAAUUCUUUAUUGUAUUUUCACUUAUAGAAUAAUUGAGGGAUUUAAUUUUCUAUUUUAAAUGUUAUAGCCUCAUAGUAAGGAUUUAUGUUUUAUUUUGGAAUCAUAUUUGCUUUACAAAAAAUAUAGAAAUAUUAAAAAACAACCACUUCACAAUUACUGGGAUGGCUGUAAUAAAAAAGACAGGGAAUAACAAGUAUUGGUGAGGAUGUGGAGAAACUGGAACCCUCAUACAUUGCUGGUAGGAAUGUAAAACGGUGCAGCUGCUCUGUAAAACCACAGUCUGGCAGUGUCUCAAAAGUUAAAUGUACAGUUACCAUAUGACCCAGAAAUUCCACUCCUAGGUAUAUACCCAAGAGAAAUAAAAACGUAUCCACACAAAAACUUGUGCAUAAAUGUUCAUGACAGCCUUAUUCACCAGAGCCGAAAAGUGGAAACAAGGCAAAUGGCCAUCACCUGAUAAAUGAACAAACAAUAUGUAAUAUAUUCAUGCAAUGUAAUAGUAUUUGGCAACAAAAAGAAAUGCUGUGCGAUGAACCUCAAAAACACUCUACGUGAAAAAAGCCAGUUACAGAAAAACACAAAUUGUAUAAUCCCAUUUAUAUGAAAUGUUCAGAAGAGGCAAAUCUACAGAGACAAAAAGUAGAUCGGUAGCUGCUCAGAGCUAAGGAAGGCGAAAGGAAUUUGGAAGGAGGUGGGUGUCAGAGGAAAAUCGUGCUACACAGUUGAACAGGCAAGGAAGACUUUUCUAAGACUUAAAAUAAGGGGAGAGAUCAAACUCAAGUCUGCUGAAACAAAAGGUCAGCAGGUUUGGAAGUGCUGGGUGAGCUAGUGGAAAAGUCCUGGAGGACAUAGAAGGGGAGGUUGGUCAGUGUAAUUAGGCCAACUGUGCUUGCUAAUUUGUACUUAGUGAAGUUAGGCUCCUACCCUUCCACAGAGACUAGGAGAUAGGGGCACCAGCUUACUUGAUUACAUUUGAAGGAAUGGCUCUAGGUCCUUGAGAAAGAGAUACUUGGGUUAUUAAACUGGCAAGAAGCUGGAAGAGGAUCUAUCUUCAUUUCAAAGGAGCAAAUAAUUUUCAAUUACAAGUUUUCUAAAGUAAAUGCUCUAAGAACAGGGAGGUCAGGGACCUAUAAUCAGGAAGGAACUUGUCUAUAGGCUAGUCAACCUGAGGGGAAUAAUAAUACUGUCUUUGCCAAUGGAUACAAAGUUUAUUUUUGAUAUGAUGAAAAUGUUCUAAAAUUAGAUCAAAUGAAUGUUGUAAAACUCUGUAAAUGUACUAAAAACCAUUACAUUGUACACCCUAAAUGGGUCAGCUUUGUGGUAUGUAAAUUAUAGCUCAAUAAAGCUGUGUUUAAAAGAUCAG